RNAcentral lists this ribosomal RNA (463 nucleotides) under uncultured bacterium. RNAcentral describes it as "partial 16S ribosomal RNA". It matches the Rfam family "Bacterial small subunit ribosomal RNA", at positions 28 to 507 of the family's 1533-position model. The record is from RNAcentral.
GACGAACGCUGGCGGCGUGCUUAACACAUGUAAGUCGAACGGAAAGGCCUUUUCGGCGGUACUCGAGUGGCGAACGGGUGAGUAACACGUGGGUGAUCUGCCCUGCACUCUGGGAUAAGCCUGGGAAACUGGGUCUAAUACCGGAUAGGACCGCACUUUAGUGUGUGUGGUGGAAAGUUUUUUCGGUGUAGGAUGAGCCCGCGGCCUAUCAGCUUGUUGGUGGGGUAAUGGCCUACCAAGGCGGCGACGGGUAGCCGGACUGAGAGGUUGGUCGGCCACAUUGGGACUGAGAUACGGCCCAGACUCCUACGGGAGGCAGCAGUGGGGAAGAUUGCACAAUGGGCGCAAGCCUGAUGCAGCGACGCCGCGGGGGGGAUGACGGCCUUCGGGUUGUAAACUCCUUUCGCCAGGGACGAAGCGUUUUGUGACGGUACCUGGAGAAGAAGCACCGGCUAACUACGUG